RNAcentral lists this long non-coding RNA (1143 nucleotides) under Sus scrofa (pig). RNAcentral describes it as "lncRNA (ENSSSCG00030061810.1)". The record is from RNAcentral. Lineage: Eukaryota; Metazoa; Chordata; Mammalia; Artiodactyla; Suidae.
CAGAAUGGCCAGAAUCAAUUCAAGCUUCAGCCUUUUGAUGACUUCACAGAUGAAUAACAAUGUGGUAGGUUUUACUAAAAAACAACAACAAAAAAGAAGACGAAGAGGAUGAAGAAGAAGAAGAAACAGGCUUUUCCUAUUCUUCCACCCCUUUGCAGUAAGUACUUCAUUUAAAAAAGUAAAGAAUUAUUUUAUGGCCUUGAUGUUGUCAGAGACACUAAAUUUUCUACACAAACAAAAUCGGAUGACUCUGCUUGAAAAAAAUUCUUUCCUAUUAAUAUUAUGAGAUGUUUAAAAAAAAAAAAAAAGGCAUCUGGACAGUUCAUUUGAAUGGCCACAAGAGAGCAGUAAGAAAUUAAAGCUUAGGAAGAUGACUCAUAGUCACACUUUAUAUGUAUGUGUUCUGCUAUUAGGAAGAAUUGAAAGACAGACUUAUUUCUAUUUGUUCUUGAGUUUAGAAAUAUAGUUUAGAAUUUCUUAAUUUUUAAAACGGCUUUAGGAAGGGCAAUAUUGAUAGCAUUAGCUGGAAUUACUGAAAAAAACCUUAAGUUAAGACUUUUACAAACCUCAAGUUCAGGUGUGAAAAUAGAAGAAAGUACCUCCUCUGGGCAAAGGGACAUCUUGAGCAGUCAUCCGGCCCAUCCCUUCGGAUUAUUCAAGCCUGACAGAAAGAAUGAAAUCAUAUUCUUAGGGAAAUAAUAUUGACCUCUUAUUCUCCAUAAUGUAGGCAGGUAUGUACUUUCCCCUCAUUCCUCAUUCACUCCCCUCCAUGGUGUGAGCACAAAUAGCAAGCACAAAACACAUUUUUCUAAACUAGUUUGAAAUAUUUUUUCAAGAACUGAACACACUUCACAUGUAUGGCUCUCAGCUGUUUGUUUGUUUUUUAAACAGGAUGUAGCAGUAACUUCCUACAAUUUUAACCCAUUUGAAAAAUAUAUGUAUUCAAAAAGUCUUAAUGGCAAAAGAUAAAACCAAGACUCACUGACACAUUUAUAGCAGGAAAUGUGAAAACUUAUACUUCUUAUGCUUUUUUACAAGGAAAUUUUCCGUCCCCCCCAAAUGCCUAUGCAAAUAACAUGGAGCACAUGAUAAACAAAAUGUAUCUCCUAAUAAAGAUCACAUAUUUAGUAGCUAGUUAACCCA